This is a non-coding RNA of Heterocephalus glaber (naked mole-rat), 596 nucleotides long. The record is from RefSeq and is a predicted model, not a curated record. NCBI's taxonomy places the organism in Eukaryota, Metazoa, Chordata, Mammalia, Rodentia, Bathyergidae.
UCUCUUGCCUGUCCUGCUGUUCCAUUUUGCAGUAUCUUAUGAGAUUCCUAAGAGUAUCCUGGACACAUUGAAGAGAAGGGUGAGCCUUACUCAUUUCCAGUGAGAGAAAUGAGUGAAAUGGGUCUGAUUUACAUCACAGGUGAGCUAGACAGCAUACAAGUAAAGAACCUGAUCCUCAAGCACAAUAUCUAAAAGUAAAAAAUAUCACACUUUUUUUCCUAACUGAAGUUCAGCCUUCUGUGGUGAAGUUGGUUUUCCUACUGUGACCUGUGCACUCCGGUCUACCAGCCUGACACUACACGCCAUCUGCUGGUUCCAAACUAUAUAGCUCCAGAGUAACUGCUGACGCUGUUGGGGAACAGAGGACCUGGCCUCCUGAAGAAGCACCAACAGGCCCUCUGCUUCAAGUUGUAGGUGUGAACAAAUCCAGACCACUAAGAGGCCCUCCAGUCCUCCUUGAAUUUGGGUAUGGAUCCUAAGAUUUGCUCCAGUACCUCUGCAGCCAGCACCCAGAGCAGCUAAUGAAAGGAUUCAAGCCGGACGUUCAGGGAUAAGGAGAGACGGCUACAAUGAUACUUCAAAUUGGUAUGUAUCAG